This 433-nucleotide ribosomal RNA is filed under the name uncultured bacterium. Its description in RNAcentral is "partial 16S ribosomal RNA". It matches the Rfam family "Bacterial small subunit ribosomal RNA", at positions 29 to 507 of the family's 1533-position model. The record is from RNAcentral.
AACGAACGCUGGCGGCAUGCCUAACACAUGCAAGUCGAACGAGACCUUCGGGUCUAGUGGCGCACGGGUGCGUAACGCGUGGGAACCUGCCCUUAGGUUCGGAAUAACUCCCCGAAAGGGGUGCUAAUACCGGAUAAUGUCUUCGGACCAAAGAUUUAUCGCCUUUGGAUGGGCCCGCGUUGGAUUAGCUAGUUGGUAGGGUAAAAGCCUACCAAGGCGACGAUCCAUAGCUGGUCUGAGAGGAUGAUCAGCCACACUGGGACUGAGACACGGCCCAGACUCCUACGCGAGGCAGCAGUGGGGAAUAUUGGACAAGGGGCGAAAGCCUGAUCCAGCAAUGCCGGGUGAGUGAUGAAGGCCUUAGGGUUGUAAAGCUCUUUUACCCGGGAUGAUAAUGACAGUACCGGGAGAAUAAGCUCCGGCUAACUCCGUG